Non-coding RNA from Potamilus streckersoni, 74 nucleotides. The record is from the annotation of a GenBank genome assembly. Lineage: Eukaryota; Metazoa; Mollusca; Bivalvia; Unionida; Unionidae.
UAACUGGUGACCUAGUGGUUGGGACAUCCGCUUCCGAUGCGGGAGGUCGCGGUUUCAAACCCCUGCCGAGUCAU